Molecule: ribosomal RNA, 481 nt
Filed under: uncultured bacterium
Lineage: Bacteria
Description: bacterial SSU rRNA
Rfam family: Bacterial small subunit ribosomal RNA
Source: RNAcentral
AUUGAACGCUGGCGGCAUGCUUUACACAUGCAAGUCGAACGGUAACAGGCCGCAAGGUGCUGACGAGUGGCGAACGGGUGAGUAAUGCAUCGGAACGUGCCCAGUCGUGGGGAUAACGCAGCGAAAGCUGCGCUAAUACCGCAUACGAUCUAUGGAUGAAAGCGGGGGACCGUAAGGCCUCGCGCGAUUGGAGCGGCCGAUGUCAGAUUAGGUAGUUGGUGGGGUAAAGGCCCACCAAGCCGACGAUCUGUAGCUGGUCUGAGAGGACGACCAGCCACACUGGGACUGAGACACGGCCCAGACUCCUACGGGAGGCAGCAGUGGGGAAUUUUGGACAAUGGGCGCAAGCCUGAUCCAGCAAUGCCGCGUGCAGGAAGAAGGCCUUCGGGUUGUAAACUGCUUUUGUACGGAACGAAACGGUCCUGUCUAAUACAUGGGGCUAAUGACGGUACCGUAAGAAUAAGCACCGGCUAACUACGUG